Molecule: transfer RNA, 66 nt
Filed under: Myosotella myosotis (mouse ear snail)
Lineage: Eukaryota; Metazoa; Mollusca; Gastropoda; Ellobiida; Ellobiidae
Description: tRNA-Trp
Source: RNAcentral
AGGUGCAUAGUAUAAGGAAUAUAUGGGCCUUCAAAGCCUGGGAAGCACGAUUUGUGGCUGCGCCUG